GACAGAAACUCUUUUCUGUGAGAAUUUAUGCUAGCCUGUUCAGUCUGAUGCAGUUUUCGUUGCACUUGUAACGUCCAUGUGUGUCACGGAGCGUUGUAGUGUAAUAUAAAAUAGGAUAAUGUUGUAAAUACAUUGUGUGCGAUAGCCUGUUGUGCGUAUAUCUGAAACUCAUUUGCAUUCUCGUGACUGGGCAAAUACGGCACUGACCAGGCUAGGCCAUUUCUCGCGCUGCCGUCACCGUGCACAGACGUGAAAUCCUUCCUCUCCCUCUCGAUGGCGGAAUAAUUCCAGGUUAUGCACAAGCACCAAAGCUGCCCCAGCUACAGAUUCAAGGCCUUGGUCAAGGACGAGAUGACGGGAAAGGAAACAGAGGAAAUGCUCCUAGUCUUGGAUCUGUCUGUGGGAAAGUAUGCUCUUACUAAAUAUUUGCGGGGCCACGAAGAUCAUACAGCGAGGGGAAAUCCAAGGAUCUAGGACACUAUGAUAUUCCACUAUCCUUGGGACAUGGAAGCCCGACCUGACGCUGCACAACUUAAAGGCAGACAAGGAGCUGGCAGAAGGUACAAUGCUGUGUACAUCAUAUUCUUCCUGCUGGGACUGGGCAUGCUGCUGCCAUGGAACAUCUUUAUCACUGCAAAUAUGGCUGUGAUCUUCCCCACCAACCUCUGCUUGGAAAGCACAGAUCGUUCACGUCAAGCCGCCGCCGAACGCACCCUCAUCCUCCGAGGCAACCGAUGUCUACAUCCCCGGUGCUGAGACAUCCGUUCCCGGUCCCGGUAGAGCUGUGGGCAGGGGCCAGAAAGUGAGCCUGCACAGUGUGCCUGACAAAACGACCCCUGAAAAUUCCCUGACUUUUUCUCUGAAGACUACGAUGAAAGAUUGUUAGAGACAUAUGGCCAAUGUACAUGCAGCGACCCUCGGCCAAGACGGGGCACACGACGGCCAACGGGCACCGUCUCUUCCGUUCCUGAUCCGGGGAAGCCGACCACUGAUGGACCUGACACGUCAGCCACCCAUCCAUCUGGCCAGGGAUGUACUUCCCCGGUCACUUUCUCUUCUUCUCUUGCAUUAGGGAGCAGACCGUCCACGUCAAGCCACCGCCGGACACACCCUCAUCCCCCGAAACAACCAACGUCUGCAUCCCCGGCCCUGAGACAUCCAUUCCCGGUCCUGGGAGAGCUGUGGGGCCAGUCACACCGCCUGAGACCGACGUGACGGCAGUUCCUGGCACAGCCGAUACGACGAAGCCAAUGUGAACGUGCUUUUCGAUGUCCAGUCAAAGGACGCAAAAGACAAUAGAGUCUGCAUGAUCGAUACCAAAUGUCAUAAUGUAUGAAGACAUUAGCCAGAGGACCACCCCUUGACCAAAUUGUUUGAUUGUCUGGAUCCAUCAUAUGUCCUAACUACAAGGACAGUAACGACAAAACAUUUGAGCAUAAAGAACGACAGUCAUUGUAACAACAACUAUUUCAAUUGUAUUGUCACUUAUUUUAGUACACUGGGCUUCUCCAGUAGCCAGGCUUUGAGACUAGAGAAUGAUAGACAGUCUAUAUUGUAAUCGAAACUGAUUGCUGUUAUUUGGUACAUCCAGUUAUCGAACUAACGAGUACAACGGCCAUAUAAGAUUUGUUCAAUGAUUCACUGCUAUACAAUAAUCUCUUAAAUACAAGGGAGGCAUGUAUGAUAUUUAUAGCAGGACAUCUGCAUAGUUUUUGUACAAUAUCCAAUGAUCAUAUGCAACAGGAGUUCCCUGGCUGUACAGCUGUAAUAGAUGACCUAGUACAGGUGUCUCCCACUGCAAGGUCAGAGGUCAAGUCUAAAAGUCUUGACC
This is an RNA transcript of Branchiostoma belcheri (Belcher's lancelet), 1831 nucleotides long. RefSeq lists it as uncharacterized. The transcript is spliced from 5 exons. The record is from RefSeq and is a predicted model, not a curated record. NCBI's taxonomy places the organism in Eukaryota, Metazoa, Chordata, Leptocardii, Amphioxiformes, Branchiostomatidae.